Molecule: ribosomal RNA, 178 nt
Filed under: uncultured bacterium
Lineage: Bacteria
Description: partial 16S ribosomal RNA
Rfam family: Bacterial small subunit ribosomal RNA
Source: RNAcentral
UGGGGAUAUUGGGCAAUGGGCGAAAGCCUGACCCAGCCACGCCGCGUGGGUGAUGAAGGCCUUCGGGUUGUAAAGCUCUUUUGGGGGGGAAGAAAGGCCCCGGGGCUAAUACCCGCGGGGUUUGCCGGUACCCCAAGAAGAAGCCCCGGCUAACUCCGUGCCCGCGGCCGUAGUAAUA